GACUCUUCAAACCAAACCUUCAAAGACUCUGAAGGAGCAGAGGGGACACAAUGGAUCAUUAACAGACAGGAUGAGGUCAGAGAACAAGACAUUGGCCACUUACUCCUUGUGAUGGUACUGAACAAGCAGAGAAGGCAGAAUCCCUCCCACUAUGGAUUUCUCACUCCUGUGAACAAAUGUCCACCCCCUUCCCAACUGCAAGAGGGAUGUCGGAUUUAAUCCUCAGGCUUGUUCCAUCUUGGUUUCAAGACAGUUGUAGCAACUCCAGCCAUUGCAUCUUUCCCAGCUGGGUCAGAUUUGAUCAUUUAUAGAUUCUGUAACAAUUAACACAGACUUGGUACUUAGAACAACAAGGGACUUAUUCUCCAAGAGGCUGAAGUCAGCGUCACUGAGGUGAAAUAAAGGUGUUGAUGGGGUUCUACACCCACUG
This 430-nucleotide long non-coding RNA is filed under the name Mus spretus (western wild mouse). RNAcentral describes it as "lncRNA (ENSMSPG00010000718.1)". Lineage: Eukaryota; Metazoa; Chordata; Mammalia; Rodentia; Muridae. The record is from RNAcentral.